RNAcentral lists this microRNA precursor (96 nucleotides) under Drosophila guanche. The stretch from base 7 to 87 matches the Rfam family "bantam microRNA precursor family". Lineage: Eukaryota; Metazoa; Arthropoda; Insecta; Diptera; Drosophilidae. The record is from RNAcentral.
UAUAUGAUUUGACUACGAAACCGGUUUUCGAUUUGGUUUGACUGUUUUUUAUACAAGUGAGAUCAUUUUGAAAGCUGAUUUUGUCAAUGAAUACCA